Molecule: ribosomal RNA, 240 nt
Filed under: uncultured bacterium
Lineage: Bacteria
Description: partial small subunit ribosomal RNA
Rfam family: Bacterial small subunit ribosomal RNA
Source: RNAcentral
AGAAUCAACGCUGGCGGCGUGCCUAACACAUGCAAGUCGCACGAGAAAGGGGCUUCGGCCCUGAGUAAAGUGGCGCACGGGUGAGUAACACGUGAAUUAUCUACCUCCGAGUGGGGAAUAACUGAGAGAAAUCUUAGCUAAUACCGCAUAACACUUACGAGUCAAAGCAGCAAUGCGCUUGGAGAGGAGUUCGCGGCCGAUUAGUUAGUUGGCGGGGUAAUGGCCCACCAAGACGAUGAU